UCUGACUGUACGCCUACAUAAAGCAGCGCGCGGUGCGCUCGGCGGUGAGCAGCAUGAGUCUCACAGGGAAAGUCGCUCUGGUCACCGGCGGCGCACAAGGCAUCGGAAGAGCCGUGGUGGAACAUCUCCUGGAGAAUGGGGCGAAGGUUGCACUGGUAGACCUGAACCAAUCUGUGGGAGAGGAAUGUAAAAGUGAUCUAGAUGGCCAGUUUGGAGAGGGUAACUGUAUUUUUAUCCAGUGUGACGUGACUGACGCUGGGAAACUUAGAGAUGCCUUUAAAAAUACAGUAGAGAGGUUUGGUCGGUUGGAUAUUGUCAUCAAUAAUGCUGGAAUCAACAAUGAGAAGGACUGGGAAAAGACCAUUGAAGUAAAUUUGACAUCUGUCAUAAAGGGGACAUAUUUAGCACUAGAACACAUGAGUAAAGAGCACGGAAAAGAAGGAGGGGUUAUCAUCAACGUUUCGUCGAUGGCAGCAUUUCUUCAUUCUCCUCACCAGCCAGUGUACACAGCGACAAAGCAUGGGGUGAUUGGAUUUUCAAGAGCUAUUGCAGCUGACCGUGUUUGGACACGUUUUGUUGUCGGCAGGACGCAUCUGAACAGGGCAAUUAUGGAGUGAGGAUCAACACACUGUGCCCAGCCUUCGUGGACACCCAACUCCUUCACACUGUGGAGCAUGAGGAAACAAUGGGCAAGUUUGUCAAGUACAAAGAUGAAUUCAAGCAGAGGAUCAACAAGUAUGGCGUUCUUAAACCAUCUCUGAUUGCAGAAGGAAUGCUACGAAUCAUACUAGAUGAAAGCCUAAACGGAGCCGUGAUGAAGAUCACCUGUUCUAAAGGCAUUCACUUUCACACCUAUGAGCCUCUUUCCGCUUAAAAGUGAUGCCUUCAUCAAACAUGUCUGCCUUUUUCCUCUUCUCUCCAUUCCUCACCAGAACAUUUAUUUUAUUGAAAUCACCUCAAACAGCUA
Labeo rohita (rohu) is the source of this 967-nucleotide RNA transcript. It is a transcript of the gene named 15-hydroxyprostaglandin dehydrogenase, with no coding region annotated. The record is from RefSeq and is a predicted model, not a curated record. The transcript has 7 exons. Lineage: Eukaryota; Metazoa; Chordata; Actinopteri; Cypriniformes; Cyprinidae.